Molecule: long non-coding RNA, 596 nt
Filed under: Chloebia gouldiae (Gouldian finch)
Lineage: Eukaryota; Metazoa; Chordata; Aves; Passeriformes; Passeridae
Description: Erythrura gouldiae (Gouldian finch) lncRNA (ENSEGOG00005005606.1)
Source: RNAcentral
CAGUGGAAAAGGCAAUGGACGAGAUGUCAGAGCAGCUGGACUGACUCCAGGCUGUUGUUUCUUCUCAUGGGCUGUUAAUAUUGCCCAAUUGUGAUGGCCCAUUGCUCCAGUGAAUAGCAGUGCAGCUGAGUAGAGGACUGUGAGAAGAAUUCAGCAAUCAAAGCCAUCAGUCCUGCCUGUUGUGAUCAGACUGCAGUUUCUGCUCCUAACUGAUGGAUGUUCAGGUCAAAGCAAGAAAUGGCAUCAGCACAAAGAAUGGCUCAGCCCUUACUCUUUACAGACUCCUGUAAGUUUCCAGAUCUAUAAAUAUUCACGUUAUUCCCCACAGAGGGGAAGAAAGAGGAUGAUUUGUAUCCUUCUAGCUUGUUCUGUUAACACAUUCCCAUUUUUCAGUGUUUUCCAGUUGGAUAAAUACUGUGACGAACAGGAAACCCUUGUGAGAGGAAAUACAUUUUAGCAUAAAUUGCAUUGGUGUGUAGCUUAUAAAUAUUUGCAAUGAAAUGUGAAAAAUAUCUCUAUUGGUCACAUUAAUGUAUUCUGGAUAUGGAAGACCAGCCUUCUUUUGAAGACAUGAAUGGAAUUUCUACUAUAGGAAA